Molecule: ribosomal RNA, 544 nt
Filed under: uncultured archaeon
Lineage: Archaea
Description: bacterial SSU rRNA
Rfam family: Archaeal small subunit ribosomal RNA
Source: RNAcentral
CGGGGUGCAGCAGGCGCGAAAACUUUACAAUGCUGGCAACAGCGAUAAGGGGACCUCGAGUGCCAGGUUACAAAUCUGGCUGUCGUGAUGCCUAAAAAGCAUUGCAUAGCAAGGGCCGGGCAAGACCGGUGCCAGCCGCCGCGGUAACACCGGCGGCUCGAGUGGUAACCGUUAUUAUUGGGUCUAAAGGGUCUGUAGCCGGCCGGAUAAGUCUCUUGGGAAAUCUGGCAGCUUAACUGUCAGGCUUUCAGGAGAUACUGUCUGGCUCGAGGCCGGGAGAGGUGAGAGGUACUUCAGGGGUAGGGGUGAAAUCUUGUAAUCCUUGAAGGACCACCAGUGGCGAAGGCGUCUCACCAGAACGGACCUGACGGCAAGGGACGAAAGCUAGGGGCACGAACCGGAUUAGAUACCCGGGUAGUCCUAGCCGUAAACGAUACUCGCUAGGUGUCGGCCACGGUGCGACCGUUGUCGGUGCCGUAGGGAAGCCGUGAAGCGAGCCACCUGGGAAGUACGGCCGCAAGGCUGAAACUUAAAGGAAUUGGCG